UCCCUGGUAGCUCAGUGGUAAAGAAUCUGCCUGCAAUGCAGGAGACCCUGGUUUGAUUCCUGGGUCGGGAA
RNAcentral lists this transfer RNA (71 nucleotides) under Ovis aries (sheep). It matches the Rfam family "tRNA". From Rfam's summary of the family: Transfer RNA (tRNA) molecules are approximately 80 nucleotides in length. Lineage: Eukaryota; Metazoa; Chordata; Mammalia; Artiodactyla; Bovidae. The record is from Rfam by way of RNAcentral.